RNAcentral lists this transfer RNA (63 nucleotides) under Plectus acuminatus. RNAcentral describes it as "tRNA-Ile". Lineage: Eukaryota; Metazoa; Nematoda; Chromadorea; Plectida; Plectidae. The record is from RNAcentral.
CGCAGGGUAGUAAAAUUUAUUAUACCAUUUUGAUAGAGUGGAGUUGACAUUCGUUUCUUGCAA